RNAcentral lists this ribosomal RNA (253 nucleotides) under uncultured bacterium. Its description in RNAcentral is "partial 16S ribosomal RNA". It matches the Rfam family "Bacterial small subunit ribosomal RNA", at positions 524 to 776 of the family's 1533-position model. The record is from RNAcentral.
UACGUAGGGUGCAAGCGUUGUCCGGAAUUAUUGGGCGUAAAGAGCUCGUAGGCGGUUUGUCGCGUCUGCUGUGAAAACUCGGGGCUUAACCUCGGGCCUGCAGUCGAUACGGGCAGACUAGAGUUCGGUAGGGGAGACUGGAAUUCCUGGUGUAGCGGUGAAAUGCGCAGAUAUCAGGAGGAACACCGGUGGCGAAGGCGGGUCUCUGGGCCGAUACUGACGCUGAGGAGCGAAAGCGUGGGGAGCGAACAGG